Molecule: microRNA precursor, 102 nt
Filed under: Marmota monax (woodchuck)
Lineage: Eukaryota; Metazoa; Chordata; Mammalia; Rodentia; Sciuridae
Source: RNAcentral
AGUGCAAUUGUUGCAUCAUAUGGUAGUUGCAUUUUUUUUUUUAAAGAAACUUUCACAUUGUUUUCCAGAAUGGCUAUACCAUUUUACAUUUCCACCAGCAAU